UGAAGAAGCUUUUUCGUUCUUGGCUAAGAUCUCGAUUUUCCGGAGUUUGAGUUAAUCUCAGGUAAUGAUUCUUUAGAGAUGAGUUCGUGCCUAGGUAAAUUUCAUUUGUGCAAAGUUUAGGAGCGAGUCCUUUUGAUUUGAGUUAGAUUUUGUAACACCCCAGGUGUUUGUCACUUGCUAAGUACUAGAUUUGAGCUCAAACAUGACAAGUUCAAUGGUAAUAAAAAGGUCUAAGUCAAUCUAUGAAAGUAAACCCCAACUUGGACUUGGUGGAUGCAACCUUGCUUGCAUAUAUGCCUUUUUAAAAGGUAUGCUUUGAUGAUGCUAAUGGAACCUUUUUCAUAUGUCUUAUAUCCAUCCCAAUCUAUGUUGGUCUCUGGAAAAGUUUGGUGAAGUUUGGAAUCAAGAAGUCACAUGAAAUGAUAAGUUAUAUCCUUGUUGGAAUGACUCUAUUAAGGAAAUAGAAUCAUGGGUCACCAACCAAACCUUGCAAACUUGCUCAUAUGACUCUAGAUGAAUUAUACAACAAAAGUUAAGAAGGAUUCAUGUUGAGCUUAUGUCAAGAAAAUGCUUCAAUUGGCCUAAAACCCUAUUUGGAGCUUUAUGAGGUUACUGCUUUGACCCAAGUGAAAGAUUGACUUCUGUUGUAGUUAUGAGGUUUGACCCUAAAUGAAAGUUGAACUUUUGCUUCUGUAGAAGAAACUUUAUUCACGGGUCAAGAACAAAAUCAGCCUGCAAAUAGUUCAAACAGAGGCUCCAAGUUCGAAUCAGCUGCUGCUUUUUAGCCCUGAGAAAUAAUUCUCCCUGGAAGUACAGCAGUGAGUUAGAUCUUUCGUGACGUUUUAUUAUUCAAAUUCAUAUGGUAACUCAAUUAGGUUCCUUAAUAUGAGUUGGAUUACUCUUCUUGAUGAAAGCAAUGGAUCAAGUAUCAUUAAAUUUGGAGUUCAUUUGGAUAUCUAAAAGUAGCUCCCAAAAUAGCAAAAAGUUAUUUUUUCGCUAAAUGGACAUCGACCGGUUGACAUGCCGCGUUCUCGUGUUUUUGUUAAGAAACUAAAGUUGGUCCAAGAAUAAAAGUUGUGGAUAAUUGUUUGGAGAAGAUCAUUCAAAAAGUUGCAUCAAGUUUGACAUGGUUUGGACCAUUAAUUCUUGGUUUUGCUAAUCACCGUCAAUACGUUGACACUCGUGAAUUGGCAUCUAAUUAUCUUUUAAUCUGUUGGUCUAAUAACCUUGGUCUCUUAAUCAAAGUUGUAGUACACGGCGGUAUGAGCAAACCUUAUUUUUGGCUCAUCUUCAAAUUCGGCCCGGAAAAAGCCCAAAAUCGCCUCCCACCUUGGCUACUCCGACGCGCGCCACGUGCUCGGCGAAAUGCGUCAAAGGGAAACGCGUGUCCUGGACGUGUCCACCAUCCACAGCGCCCCCAGCUCCAUUGAUGAACCCCUGCUGCCCCUCUCGCGGUCUGUGAAGCCAGAUAGCGCUCCCCACCCUUGGCGGGCCGGUCGGUCGAAGACGGUGGUGACACGUAUCGAGUGGCGGGAAAGCGUAUGGAGUACGCUACUCGUGGCGGGUUUCACGGGCCUCAAAACCCGGGCGGAGGUUCCAAGGCGGAACGGACGACACGUGGCAGCAUCGGUGAGAUCGCUUCGAAGCGAGGCUACCGGUGAGGAGGAGCGGUGGCCGUCGGAUUUAGGUCAUGUCGAGUUGGACUAGAAUGUCCCUAGGGCUUGCUAGUUCGCUCAAAAAUAUCUAGGGGCAUCUGGGGAAUAUGUAAUAUGCCUGAUAAAUAAGCCGGGAGAGUCCCCCAACUCUUUCUAACCCUCUCCACCUACUGCUCUCUCUCUCCCGUAGUUUUCUCUCUAGGUUUAACUCUUUUCUUUUUUGAGUUCUAGAGAUUCAUGAACUGGUAAAAUUUGUAGUAUUUUUGUUGUGUUUUGGAAUGGGAAUGGAGGCCCAAAUCCUCCUUUUCUCCUCUGGGAUUCAUAAAUUAAGCCUGUGAUUUUCGUUGUUGUCUGUGUCCUGUUUUUCGUCCUGAAGAAGCUUUUUCGUUCUUAGCUAAGAUCUCGAUUUUCCGGAGUUUGAGUUAAUCUCAGGUAAUGAUUCUUUAGAGAUGAGUUCGUGCCUAGGUAAAUUUCAUUUGUGCAAAGUUUAGGAGCGAGUCCUUUUGAUUUGAGUUGGAUUUUGUAACACCCCAGGUGUUUGUCACUUGCUAAGUACUAGAUUUGAGCUCAAACAUGACAAGUUCAAUGGUAAUAAAAAGGUCUAAGUCAAUCUAUGAAAGUAAACCCCAACUUGGACUUGGUGGAUGCAACCUUGCUUGCAUAUAUGCCUUUUUAAAAGGUAUGCUUUGAUGAUGCUAAUGGAACCUUUUUCAUAUGUCUUAUAUCCAUCCCAAUCUAUGUUGGUCUCUGGAAAAGUUUGGUGAAGUUUGGAAUCAAGAAGUCACAUGAAAUGAUAAGUUAUAUCCUUGUUGGAAUGACUCUAUUAAGGAAAUAGAAUCAUGGGUCACCAACCAAACCUUGCAAACUUGCUCAUAUGACUCUAGAUGAAUUAUACAACAAAAGUUAAGAAGGGUUCAUGUUGAGCUUAUGUCAAGAAAAUGCUUCAAUUGGCCUAAAACCCUAUUUGGAGCUUUAUGAGGUUACUGCUUUGACCCAAGUGAAAAUUGACUUCUGUUAUAGUUAUGAGGUUUGACCCUAAAUGAAAGUUGAACUUUUGCUUCUGUAGAAGAAACUUUAUUCAAGGGUCAAGAACCAAAUCAGCCUGCAAAUAGUACAAACAGAGGCUCCAAGUUCGAAUCAGCUGCUGCUUUUUAGCCCUGAGAAAUAAUUCUAAGUCCCUGGAAGUACAGCAGUGAGUUAGAUCUUUCGUGACGUUUUAUUAUCCAAAUUCAUAUGGUAACUCAAUUAGGUUCCUUAAUAUGAGUUGGAUUACUCUUCUUGAUGAAAGCAAUGGAUCAAGUAUUAUUAAAUUUGGAGUUCAUUUGGAUAUCUAAAAGUAGCUCCCAAAAUAGCAAAAAGUUAUUUUAUCGCUAAAUGGACAUCGACCGGUUGACAUGCCGCGUUCUCGUGUUUUUGUUAAGAAACUAAAGUUGGUCCAAGAAUAAAAGUUGUGGAUAAUUGUUUGGAGAAGAUCAUUCAAAAAGUUGCAUCAAGUUUGACAUGGUUUGGACCAUUAAUUCUUGGUUUUGCUAAUCACCGUCAAUACGUUGACACUCGUGAAUUGGCAUCUAAUUAUCUUUUAAUCUGUUGGUCUAAUAACCUUGGUCUCUUAAUCAAAGUUGUAGUACACGGCGGUAUGAGCAAACCUUAUUUUUGGCCCAUCUUCAAAUUCGGCCCGGAAAAAGCCCAAAAUCGCCUCCCACCUUGGCUACUCCGACGCGCGCCACAUGCUCGGCGAAAUGCGUCAAAGGGAAACGCGUGUCCUGGACGUGUCCACCAUCCACAGCGCCCCCAGCUCCAUUGAUGAACCCCUGCUGCCCCUCUCGCGGUCUGUGAAGCCAGAUAGCGCUCCCCACCCUUGGCGGGCCGGUCGGUCACCCUUCUGUUGUGGACGCCCAGCUCCCUCAUCCGCUCCCUUGCGUCUCUCCUCGUUUAGUGCCGCUGUCCGCCAUGGACAGGAAGCGUAGCUUCAUGGCCAGGCCGUUCUGAGAGUGGUGUGGAGGAUGCGGGCAAGCCUCCUGGUGCUUCCCCACCCCUCCAUCGUCGCCGACGAUGCCUCAGCCGGCCGGAGCAGAAACCUCCGGCGAGGGCGUGGUUGUCUGUUUUUUGGCGACUAGGGACCUCGGGUUAGAAUAAGAAACAACUCAGGGUUCCAGAUGCGAAGCCAAGACUCAUAUGAAUAGCGUUACUGGUCUGUGGCGCGAUUCUUGGAAAAGCUAGGGUUCCCGGUGCAAGAUCUGUUUUCCUUUUCUUUUGUUUUUUUUUGCAGAUUUUAUAGAUGAACUUUGGAAAUGCAUAGAAAUUCGUAGAAAAGUCGUAUAAUAGCAAUUGUGGACUUUUCGGAAUCCAUAUGAAAUUCUCUAUGCAAUAGAUCUAUAAUCCAGCAUGAUUUAGUUUGAAGUUUUAGUCGUAAAAAUAGAUUUAUGCAGUUCGGUUUUAAUUGCUUGUUAUAUUUGUCUUUUUCAUAACUGCUGUGUUAUGGCUCAAAGAAAUGUGGAAAUAUUGUGACAUGCUUUCCAUAUGAUAAUUGAUGUCUGGUAAUUGUUUCAUGAAUUUAGGAAUGUUAUAUUAAGAGUUAUAAAAAUAACAAAUGCCAUGUGUUCCUUUGCUCCUAUUCUGAGUGGAUCUUCAUGUUUGUAUUGUUUGGCUCAGUUAAGUUGCGAAUCAUGCCUUAAUGAAAAUAUAUAAGUUAUAUUACUUUUCAUAAGCUUUCCAGAAAGGUAAAUAGCACAAUUUUUGGUUAAGCACAUGUUUAGUUAUAGUGGUUUAAAUUACUGUUCCAGUUUCUGUCUAAACCCAGAUAGGAUUGCAUUGUUUGUAAUGUAAGACCUUGUUAGUGGUCGAUUUAGCUCUAGAUGUUUAUAACAAAGUUGUUUACAAUUUCGUAAGCUUUCUAUAAAGUAUACAAUCAUAAAUUUUGGAUAUGUGAACCUCAAGUUAUAGCUGUUUAAUGUGGCACGACAGAUUCUGUCCAUGUUUUAGACAGAGAUGUCUUUAUGUGGUUAAUUGACCUUGUUAACUGUGGAUUCAUAUUUGUAUGAUAAUAAGAAAGUUGUAGGUAACUUUAUGAGAUUUCCAAAGAGAUAAGAAUCAUAUUUGCUGGAGUUCUAUAACUCCAGUUAUGCUUCCUUGAAUUGCCUAUCAGUUUUAAUUGUACUUCUACUGUUUGGCAGCAUGAGCAGUUUUAUUUAUGCAAUUAAUUCUAUGAUAUAAAUUAUGUUUGCUGUGAAACUUGUAUAUAGAAAAGAUGUAGAAACUUCACUAGUUUAUAUUGUGGUAAAGUUUCAUAUCAUUUGGCUAAGUGGUUUGUGAGUUACAGUAGUAUGAAUUUCAUCCUUUAAAAUGCUUGUUCUAUGGAAAUUCCUGGACCAGAUUAUAUGGUCAUGCAUGUUUGACUUGGUUAACUUGUUAAUCAUGCUAAUAUGAUUAAAGAUGAAUUGUAGAUAAUUUUAUAAUCUUUUCAGAAUGUCCUAUUUUAUAGUUUUUGGAGUUGUGUAACUCCAGUUAUGAUUUAUUUACUGAGUUGCUGCAUAUAUGUCCAGAAUUGCUGAAAUACAUGAAUGUUUAAUUGCUUUACUUGGUGUGUGCUAACUAUGAUACAUGUCUUUAGCGGUGAUUAAGUAAUACACUUGUAAACUUGUGAAACUUGUGUCAUGAUUGAUAUGUUUGCUCUAUAUAAUUGGUUGUGUGAUGUUAGCUAAAUAACUUUAGAUGCCUGUGUCUUGCAUACUUUUAUGUGAUGCAUGUUGUGUUAUUAUUCUUUAUAUUCAUGCAUUUGCAUCUUGCAUCUCAUCUAGGUGCGCUAGAUGAAUCACGUGAAGGUUUUGGUGUGGGACCAAACCCGAAGAUGGUGUUGGGUGGACCCAUCCCGAAGGUGGAAGGACUAAGCAAGUGUUGUGAUCUUAGAUGUCACCAAGACGGAGCAACUAACUGAACUGACUCAGUGAUGAUCCCAGGCAAGCCCCGGAGCAUUAUAAGUCUCCCACUACUUUUGAAUGCAAUUGAGAAUAUAUGUUAUAUAUGUAUUGUUGCAUUAAGUAUAGGAGUUGGGUGAAACCCUUGCUGCAUAUAACACUCCUUGUCUAGCAAAUAUACCUAUAACAUUCAGGAUCGAAUCUAAAUGCUUAGCUAUGCUUAGACCGGUAGAAGCCAGGUGAUGUCCCGUCACCUGAGCGAGAUAGGUGGACACCUGAAAAGCUUGGCUAUAUAUGCUAUCAUGGAAAUAACCAAGUGAUGAGGAUGAAUAAUUGGAGACCGGCCGGGACGAUGGUAGAGAAGUAACAAGACAUGGAGGUCUUGGGUGCCUAUCUAUCCCCGCCUGUGUCGAUUAAGGACCGAUCGUUGACGGCACUCUUGUCAUGUUGAACGCAUGCCCCACACUUAGUUGUAAGGAUAAGUCGUUUCGACCGCGAAGCCUAAGCACUAUCCGGGCCGGGAAUCGGCCCGAUGUACGCGCUGUAUUGGUGAUGGUUGAGGAGAACGACGAGGGCGCGGCGCGCAACCUUGGUAUACCUUGGAUACCUCGGUCGCUGGAACGGUCCUCGGGUACGGGCGGUGCCUGUCGAACCCACGAAUUGGUCCUGGAUAGUGCAAUACGGUGAUCUGUAGCUCACUUGAUCAGUGAGUGUGGUUUGUGUGGGGAAUAAACUCGCCAGCUGGUCAGAAAUCGAUUCGAAUCGCCAUCGCUCCUGGAUAGUGAGCACUUGACUUGAGCCCCGUCAUCGUAGUAAUAUUUAUGGAACACGUGGAUGGUUAUGGUAUAAUGAUGAUGUUGGAAAUGCCACAUCGAAUAUGGAUACUACUAUUGUAUCUUAAUCAAGUGAUUGCUCUAGUACAGGUGCUAAUAUAGAUGACAGGUAAUGAUUAUUAACUUGAGCUAAAUACCUGAAAAAUUACUUACCUGUAACUUAAGCUUUUUAUGCAAAGAGUAUUGUCAAGCUAGCUCCACCAAUAAAGCCUUGCAUACUCCUUGGUGUCAUAUUAUUUCUGGUUCAUGACGGGUAAGUCUAGCUGAGUAUCUUCUCGUACUCAGGGUUUAUUCCCACUUGUUGCAGGUUGUGAUGUAUCAUGCCUACUGCAAGAGUUGGAUGACUCCUACCAUAAUAGAGGAGUAAGAUCAUGGGCAUGAUCCUUCUUAGUUACCUCUUCUAUGUUGCUUUUGUUGGAAUUGACCUGGAUACUGGCAUGUAUUUGAAAUGAGGGCAAUAUUAGUUUUAAAUUACUUUGCUUCCGCAACUUUUCAACUCAACUUGUAAUAACUAUAUUGAACUCCGAUGUAUGUCGAACUAUUUGUGAAAUGGAUGUAACAUGUGACUUGUUAUGUUGAAUCACUACGAUCUUGGCUUGUAAGAUGGUUGGUUUGAAAUCCCUCGUGAUUUCACGGACUACCGGGUUUAUGAGAGUUCGAUUAUGUUAAAACAACUGCUUUGGCGGGAGUUUUUCAUAGUUGAUCUCUUGUAAAUCGGGCGGUUCUGUUAUAGAUUUCAUCGAUUGUGUGGAUGCUGCUGUUUUUGUUUAUUCUUCUGUUUGUGCAUCUGUUCUACUGCUCGUGAUUUGGUAGACUCAUGGGAUCAGACAGCAACGCUACCAAUGCCGAGCGCUCAACGCCGUGCGUGCUCGAUUGAGCAGCGUUGCCUCAGUUCCAGGCAGUCCGUCUGCACGGGGAAUAGGCCCGUCGGGGCCGGGGCUCGUCCGUGGCUCCAGGCUUGUGAGCACGAGCAGACCCGUGCUACUCCCAAGUUCUUGCAGGUGUUCUUGUUUUGAUCAGGUUCGAUCUCCUCUCUGCAGGCGUGAACAAACUUGUCCCAGCGCUUCUCUCUGUGUCUGCUUGAUUCUUGUGCUCGAGUCUGUGACUCCGUCGAUCUCCAGAAGCAGGCCAGGUGAGCGCUCAUCUGUGCAGGGCAUGAUUUCAGCUUUGAGUUUAAGCGGUGAAGAUCUCCAGUGCAAACCUUGGAC
RNAcentral lists this long non-coding RNA (7610 nucleotides) under Sorghum bicolor (sorghum). RNAcentral describes it as "long non-coding RNA (SBIC_LNC009397)". The record is from RNAcentral. Lineage: Eukaryota; Viridiplantae; Streptophyta; Magnoliopsida; Poales; Poaceae.